Molecule: ribosomal RNA, 586 nt
Filed under: uncultured Neisseriaceae bacterium
Lineage: Bacteria; Pseudomonadati; Pseudomonadota; Betaproteobacteria; Neisseriales; Neisseriaceae
Description: bacterial SSU rRNA
Rfam family: Bacterial small subunit ribosomal RNA
Source: RNAcentral
CCUACGGGAGGCAGCAGUGGGGAAUUUUGGACAAUGGGCGAAAGCCUGAUCCAGCCAUGCCGCGUGUAUGAAGAAGGCCUUAGGGUUGUAAAGUACUUUUGUUAGGGAGGAAAAGCUACAGGUUAAUACCCUGUAGUCAUGACAGUACCUAAAGAAUAAGCACCGGCUAACUACGUGCCAGCAGCCGCGGUAAUACGUAGGGUGCAAGCGUUAAUCGGAAUUACUGGGCGUAAAGCGAGUGCAGGCGGUUUGUUAAGCUAGAUGUGAAAGCCCCGGGCUCAACCUGGGAAUUGCGUUUAGAACUGGCAAGCUAGAGUGUGUCAGAGGGGGGUAGAAUUCCACGUGUAGCAGUGAAAUGCGUAGAGAUGUGGAGGAAUACCGAUGGCGAAGGCAGCCCCCUGGGAUAACACUGACGCUCAUACUCGAAAGCGUGGGUAGCAAACAGGAUUAGAUACCCUGGUAGUCCACGCCCUAAACGAUGACAAUUAGCUGUUGGGGAAUUAAAAGUCCUUGGUAGCGUAGCUAACGCGUGAAAUUGUCCGCCUGGGGAGUACGGUCGCAAGAUUAAAACUCAAAGGAAUCGACG